AUUGAACGCUGGCGGCAUGCUUUACACAUGCAAGUCGAACGGUAACAGGCCGCAAGGUGCUGACGAGUGGCGCACGGGUGAGUAAUGCAUCGGAACGUGCCCAGUCGUGGGGGAUAACUACUCGAAAGAGUAGCUAAUACCGCAUACGAUCUAUGGAUGAAAGCGGGGGACCGUAAGGCCUCGUGCGAUUGGAGCGGCCGAUGUCAGAUUAGGUAGUUGGUGGGGUAAAGGCUCACCAAGCCAACGAUCUGUAGCUGGUCUGAGAGGACGACCAGCCACACUGGGACUGAGACACGGCCCAGACUCCUACGGGAGGCAGCAGUGGGGAAUUUUGGACAAUGGGCGCAAGCCUGAUCCAGCAAUGCCGCGUGCAGGAAGAAGGCCUUCGGGUUGUAAACUGCUUUUGUACGGAACGAAACGGCUCUGGUUAAUACCCGGGGCUAAUGACGGUACCGUAAGAAUAAGCACCGGCUAACUACGUG
RNAcentral lists this ribosomal RNA (482 nucleotides) under uncultured bacterium. RNAcentral describes it as "partial 16S ribosomal RNA". It matches the Rfam family "Bacterial small subunit ribosomal RNA", at positions 30 to 507 of the family's 1533-position model. The record is from RNAcentral.